GACGAACGCUGGCGGCGUGCUUAACACAUGCAAGUCGAACGCUGAAGCACCAGCUUGCUGGUGUGGAUGAGUGGCGAACGGGUGAGUAAUACGUGAGUAACCUGCCCUUGACUCUGGGAUAAGCCCGGGAAACUGGGUCUAAUACUGGAUGCUACAUGUCACCGCAUGGUGGUGUGUGGAAAGGGUUUACUGGUCUUGGAUGGGCUCACGGCCUAUCAGCUUGUUGGUGAGGUAAUGGCUCACCAAGGCGACGACGGGUAGCCGGCCUGAGAGGGUGACCGGCCACACUGGGACUGAGACACGGCCCAGACUCCUACGGGAGGCAGCAGUGGGGAAUAUUGCACAAUGGGCGAAAGCCUGAUGCAGCGACGCCGCGUGAGGGAUGACGGCCUUCGGGUUGUAAACCUCUUUCAGCAGGGAAGAAGCCACAAGUGACGGUACCUGCAGAAGAAACGCCGGCGAACUACGU
This 469-nucleotide ribosomal RNA is filed under the name uncultured bacterium. RNAcentral's name for it is "partial 16S ribosomal RNA". It matches the Rfam family "Bacterial small subunit ribosomal RNA", at positions 28 to 506 of the family's 1533-position model. The record is from RNAcentral.